This 135-nucleotide non-coding RNA is filed under the name bovine gut metagenome. RNAcentral's name for it is "FMN riboswitch (RFN element)". It matches the Rfam family "FMN riboswitch aptamer (RFN element)". Rfam says of the family: The RFN element is a highly conserved domain that is found frequently in the 5'-untranslated regions of prokaryotic mRNAs that encode for flavin mononucleotide (FMN) biosynthesis and transport proteins. This element is a metabolite-dependent riboswitch that directly binds FMN in the absence of proteins. The record is from RNAcentral.
GGUCUUCAGGGCGGGGUGUAAGUCCCCACCGGCGGUAUAGCCCGCGAGCCGUAAGGCAUGAUCCGGUGACAACGAUGCAUGAGCUGCAUUCGGUGAAUUCCGGAGCCGACAGUUACAGUCUGGAUGGAAGAAGAA